Capsicum annuum is the source of this 106-nucleotide non-coding RNA. NCBI's taxonomy places the organism in Eukaryota, Viridiplantae, Streptophyta, Magnoliopsida, Solanales, Solanaceae. The record is from Rfam.
GCUUAUGAUGAGGGAAAUAUUACAAAUAGCCCUUAUAUCUAUCCCAUGCCUGAGGCACUGAGUCAACAUCUUUUUAUAUAAAUCUAGAUAUCUUUCCUCUCAAAAC